AGCUUUGCGCAGUGGCAGUAUCGUAGCCAAUGAGAUUUAUCCAAGGCACGAUUAUUGCUAAUUGAAAACUUUUCCCGGCCGGCGCCGCGGCUCACUAGGCUAAUCCUCUGCCUGCGGCGCCGGCACCUUGGGUUCUAGUCCCUGUUGGGG
Small nuclear RNA from Oryctolagus cuniculus (rabbit), 150 nucleotides. Its record names the gene U4. It matches the Rfam family "U4 spliceosomal RNA". From Rfam's summary of the family: U4 small nuclear RNA (U4 snRNA) is a component of the major U2-dependent spliceosome. The structure of U4 snRNA from yeast and human has been reported. The record is from Ensembl. Lineage: Eukaryota; Metazoa; Chordata; Mammalia; Lagomorpha; Leporidae.